This 429-nucleotide ribosomal RNA is filed under the name Actinomycetes bacterium. RNAcentral's name for it is "Actinobacteria bacterium partial 16S ribosomal RNA". It matches the Rfam family "Bacterial small subunit ribosomal RNA", at positions 355 to 776 of the family's 1533-position model. The record is from RNAcentral. Lineage: Bacteria; Bacillati; Actinomycetota; Actinomycetes.
UAGGGAAUCUUCCGCAAUGGGCGAAAGCCUGACGGAGCAACGCCGCGUGAGUGAUGAAGGUCUUCGGAUCGUAAAACUCUGUUAUUAGGGAAGAACAAAUGUGUAAGUAACUAUGCACGUCUUGACGGUACCUAAUCAGAACGCCACGGCUAACUACGUGCCAGCAGCCGCGGUAAUACGUAGGUGGCAAGCGUUAUCCGGAAUUAUUGGGCGUAAAGCGCGCGUAGGCGGUUUUUUAAGUCUGAUGUGAAAGCCCACGGCUCAACCGUGGAGGGUCAUUGGAAACUGGAAAACUUGAGUGCAGAAGAGGAAAGUGGAAUUCCAUGUGUAGCGGUGAAAUGCGCAGAGAUAUGGAGGAACACCAGUGGCGAGGGCGACUUUCUGGUCUGUAACUGACGCUGAUGUGCGAAAGCGUGGGGAUCAAACAGG